Molecule: ribosomal RNA, 425 nt
Filed under: uncultured bacterium
Lineage: Bacteria
Description: partial 16S ribosomal RNA
Rfam family: Bacterial small subunit ribosomal RNA
Source: RNAcentral
GUGGGGAAUAUUGGACAAUGGGCGAAAGCCUGAUCCAGCCAUGCCGCGUGAGUGAUGAAGGCCUUAGGGUUGUAAAGCUCUUUCAGUAGGGAAGAUAAUGACGGUACCUACAGAAGAAGCCCCGGCUAACUUCGUGCCAGCAGCCGCGGUAAUACGAAGGGGGCUAGCGUUGUUCGGAUUUACUGGGCGUAAAGCGCACGUAGGCGGAUUGGUCAGUUAGAGGUGAAAUCCUGGAGCUAAACUCCAGAACUGCCUUUAAUACUGCCAGUCUAGAGUCCAGAAGAGGUGAGUGGAACUCCUAGUGUAGAGGUGGAAUUCGUAGAUAUUAGGAAGAACACCAGUGGCGAAGGCGGCUCACUGGUCUGGUACUGACGCUGAGGUGCGAAAGCGUGGGGAGCAAACAGGAUUAGAUACCCUAGUAGUCC